AUUACCAUUAUGCCACUGUAUCCUUCCCAAUAAACCCCCUCCCAUACCAUUGCUAAUGCAAUGUAUUAGCAAUGUCAUGAUAACUAGUGGGAAGACAUCAAUUACGGCGAGUUACUUGUGCCAGAAAUAAGAAAUAAGUGGCUUCUUGGAUCUAAUCAUGGUUGGUUGUGUACUGUUGAUAUCCAAGGCCGAGACAUUCAACUCUUGAAUCCAUUAACAAGAGCCCAAAUCCCUCUCCCAUCUCUUGAUGCAUUUCAACAUCCAGAGGGCAGUUUCAUAGACGGUGAAGUCAAUGAUUUUAGGUUUAUAGAGAAGGUCGUUAUAUUAUCUGAUCCUUCAUAUAAGAGGAGAAACUUCAAUAAUGAUGAUGAUGAUGAUCGUGUAUUAAUUAUGUCCAACUUCUGUGUGCUAUCGUUUUGCAUGCUCGGAGAUGACAAGUGGACAAAUGUAGAGGAUUCUCUUAAACACAUCCAAGAUAUCAUCUGUUACAAUGUUACAAGGGUCAGAUUUAUGCUAUUAAUUAUGUCGGGAUAGCUGUGGUUUUCGAUCUCGCAGGGGAUAAGAAGAUGAAACAAAUUGCAAAUGCACCAAAGCCAUGGAUUGGUGACCACAUGUAUUUGGUUGAGUCAGACGCGUGGAGACUUGCUGCUAGUUGCAAGAGAGCUCUUAUAUAGCAAUAUAAAAAAUCUUGAAGAUGAUGAAGGUUGGUCUACAACUACUGACUUUGUGGUGUACAAGCUUGAAGCUAUUGAUAAGCCAGUGAAGUUUGAAGGUUGAAGGUCCUACCUAUGCUACCAUCAACCGCAGAGUCCCAGAUUAGAGGUGAGCACAACAGCAUAGUCCCAAAUGGAGGUGAGGUCAAGUUCAAAUGGGUUGUGAGAUGGAAAGCUUGGGCGAUCAAACUUUGUUCUUGGGCGUUUUGUGUACGAGCUAUCGACUAUCAAGGCUGCGAGCCAAAUUGCAUAUAUUUUAACAUAGCAUGGGUUGAUAGGGCAUACAAUAACAGCACGGGGAAAAUCAAAAGAUAUUCGUGAGAAUUAUUCUAUUUGUGACAUGGUCAAAAGAUAUUCGUGAGAAUUAUUCUAUUUGUGACAUGGGCAUAUAUGAUUACAGAGAUAAAAGCUUUGAAGAAUUUACCGAACUGAAUCUUAAGUACCUUGUUCCGCCCAUCUGGAUCUCGCCAAAUCCACGUAUUUAAGUUUCUUAGGUACAAACUGAUGACCAUUAUUAUGGACCUGAAGAUUAUUGCGAUGGAUGAAAUAGUACGACCCCGUGGUGUAUUCCGGCGAUCCAUCGCCUCCUUCAUGCCUCUCUAGGAGAUGCAGCGAAGCCUGAUGGCGGUGUGCUCAGAGAUGGAAAAGGCCGUUGAGCUAAUGUAGCCAGAUAUACUCUUCUAUGGAUAGGUGCACAGGAGGACAGGAUUGCCAGAAGGAUCCGUAGGGCUGCAAUCAAGCUUCAAUUUGAAGAAAUUGCGAAAAGGAAAGUAGCAGAUGAAGUGGGAGAUAAUCUCUACAGACUAAGAGGAUUAUGGAGUUCUGGAUUGGUGUAGCAGUUCGCUAGAGGGUCAUUUGUAUAAAGGUCUGGUGACUGCUUAGGGGAAUGCUGCAGAAGUACUUUUGGGUUCUUCUUCUUCGCUUUAUCUCUCUCAUGGUGUUUUUGGGUUUCUGUCUGUGGUUUCCCUAUGCUUCUUCUUGGACGUCCGGUGAUAUCGUUUUUUCGGUUGUAUUAGCAUGACUCUCAGUCUCUUUUAUUAGUUUUUUUUUCCCGGUUGUGCUCUUUGUUGAGAGGAAGGUUCAUGGGUGUUUUGUCUAGAUAGGUGACGACAAGGUCUGUUCUCUAUCUACAUUUCGCUUCUGGACUCUUCGGUUUCAC
Long non-coding RNA from Asparagus officinalis (garden asparagus), 1872 nucleotides. RefSeq lists it as uncharacterized. Lineage: Eukaryota; Viridiplantae; Streptophyta; Magnoliopsida; Asparagales; Asparagaceae. The transcript is spliced from 4 exons. The record is from RefSeq and is a predicted model, not a curated record.